RNAcentral lists this ribosomal RNA (492 nucleotides) under uncultured bacterium. RNAcentral describes it as "partial 16S ribosomal RNA". It matches the Rfam family "Bacterial small subunit ribosomal RNA", at positions 28 to 507 of the family's 1533-position model. The record is from RNAcentral.
GAUGAACGCUAGCUACAGGCUUAACACAUGCAAGUCGAGGGGAAACGACAUCGAAAGCUUGCUUUUGAUGGGCGUCGACCGGCGCACGGGUGAGUAACGCGUAUCCAACCUGCCCAUCACUUGGGAAUAACCUUGCGAAAGUAAGACUAAUACCCAAUGAUAUCCCACGAAGGCAUCGGAAUGGGAUUAAAGAUUUAUCGGUGAUGGAUGGGGAUGCGUCUGAUUAGCUUGUUGGCGGGGUAACGGCCCACCAAGGCAACGAUCAGUAGGGGUUCUGAGAGGAAGGUCCCCCACAUUGGAACUGAGCCACGGUCCAAACUCCUACGGGAGGCAGCAGUGAGGAAUAUUGGUCAAUGGGCGAGAGCCUGAACCAGCCAAGUAGCGUGCAGGAAGACGGCCCUAUGGGUUGUAAACUGCUUUUAUAAGGGAAUAAAGUGGGUCACGUGUGACUUUUUGCAUGUACCUUAUGAAUAAGGACCGGCUAAUUCCGUG